GACGAACGCUGGCGGCGUGCUUAACACAUGCAAGUCGAGCGGUAAGGCCCUUUCGGGGGUACACGAGCGGCGAACGGGUGAGUAACACGUGGGUGACCUGCCCUCAGCUCUGGGAUAAGCCUGGGAAACUGGGUCUAAUACCGGAUAUGACCCCAUGACGCAUGUCGUGGGGUGGAAAGCCUUGUGCGGCUGAGGAUGGGCCCGCGGCCUAUCAGCUUGUUGGUGGGGUGAUGGCCUACCAAGGCGACGACGGGUAGCCGGCCUGAGAGGGCGACCGGCCACACUGGGACUGAGACACGGGCCCAGACUCCUACGGGAGGCAGCAGUGGGGAAUCUUGCGCAAUGGGCGAAAGCCUGACGCAGCGACGCCGCGUGAGGGAUGACGGCCUGGUGU
RNAcentral lists this ribosomal RNA (394 nucleotides) under uncultured bacterium. RNAcentral describes it as "bacterial SSU rRNA". It matches the Rfam family "Bacterial small subunit ribosomal RNA", at positions 28 to 422 of the family's 1533-position model. The record is from RNAcentral.